RNAcentral lists this ribosomal RNA (560 nucleotides) under uncultured bacterium. Its description in RNAcentral is "bacterial SSU rRNA". It matches the Rfam family "Bacterial small subunit ribosomal RNA", at positions 338 to 916 of the family's 1533-position model. The record is from RNAcentral.
CCUACGGGAGGCAGCAGUGGGGAAUCUUAGACAAUGGGCGCAAGCCUGAUCUAGCCAUGCCGCGUGUGUGAUGAAGGCCUUAGGGUCGUAAAGCACUUUCGCCAGGGAUGAUAAUGACAGUACCUGGUAAAGAAACCCCGGCUAACUCCGUGCCAGCAGCCGCGGUAAUACGGAGGGGGUUAGCGUUGUUCGGAAUUACUGGGCGUAAAGCGCACGUAGGCGGAUCAGAAAGUUGGGGGUGAAAUCCCGGGGCUCAACCCCGGAACUGCCUCCAAAACUCCUGGUCUUGAGUUCGAGAGAGGUGAGUGGAAUUCCGAGUGUAGAGGUGAAAUUCGUAGAUAUUCGGAGGAACACCAGUGGCGAAGGCGGCUCACUGGCUCGAUACUGACGCUGAGGUGCGAAAGUGUGGGGAGCAAACAGGAUUAGAUACCCUGGUAGUCCACACCGUAAACGAUGAAUGCCAGUCGUCGGGCAGUAUACUGUUCGGUGACACACCUAACGGAUUAAGCAUUCCGCCUGGGGAGUACGGUCGCAAGAUUAAAACUCAAAKGAAUUGACGG